Molecule: long non-coding RNA, 488 nt
Organism: Exaiptasia diaphana
Lineage: Eukaryota; Metazoa; Cnidaria; Anthozoa; Actiniaria; Aiptasiidae
Exons: 2
Source: RefSeq, a predicted model, not a curated record
AUGCUUUUGGACAGCCUGGAAAUUGACAUAUGUACGGCUUUUCUCCAGUGUGAGAUCGCAUGUGGAUUUUCAAGUUCUCAAGUCUUGAAAAGGCCUUGUUACAACCUGGAUGCUGUGACGGAAUAACAAUGAUGUCGAAAUUCUGUUGCGACUUCUAAUUGACCUGCGUACGAGCGUGAUGGAAGGUCYAGUUGCCCUGUCUACAAGAAGGCGGGGACAGCGUGUCAAGGACAAGUCCAGCCACCUGUGAAUGCCAACUUUGACAAGAAGACAAGCUCAAUGUCUCUCUGAACAGCUCCACGUCACUAGAAUUCCAUUGAAUAGUGAAGAACUAAACCAAACUAACCAACACAGUAAACCAACAAUAAUUACGACAACAAACAAACAAAUGUCAGAACUCUUAAGUGUCCUUCACAAACAUGGCACGAUUUAUAAGUCUUUGUUUAUCCAGUAAUUCAUAAAUAUUAAAACUAGAAUAAUUUAUGAUA